CGCAGAGCAGGAAUGGCAGGAGAGCGGUGAGAGACCUCCGUCCCAGUGAGGAUGACAAGUUCUAACUCAGGAAAUGAAUAGAUGCUGUUGCGAUUGAAGAAAAAUCUACGCUGGAGGCAGACAGGCUGGCAGCCAGCUCUUGCUGAUGGUCAGGAGCCUCAUUAUCUUAAGACAACACACAGUGGAGACGUGCUUUACGUAAUUGGCCUGCCCUGUGAAAACCCCUGGCUGUU
This 233-nucleotide long non-coding RNA is filed under the name Pan troglodytes (chimpanzee). Its description in RNAcentral is "long non-coding RNA NONPTRT001324". Lineage: Eukaryota; Metazoa; Chordata; Mammalia; Primates; Hominidae. The record is from RNAcentral.